UGCUAAUACGAUAUGUUUGCC
This 21-nucleotide non-coding RNA is filed under the name Caenorhabditis elegans. The record is from RNAcentral. Lineage: Eukaryota; Metazoa; Nematoda; Chromadorea; Rhabditida; Rhabditidae.